RNAcentral lists this ribosomal RNA (1233 nucleotides) under unidentified. RNAcentral describes it as "Flavovirens hemiglobus partial large subunit ribosomal RNA". It matches the Rfam family "Eukaryotic large subunit ribosomal RNA", at positions 810 to 1873 of the family's 3401-position model. The record is from RNAcentral.
UGGGACCCGAAAGAUGGUGAACUAUGCCUGAAUAGGGUGAAGCCAGAGGAAACUCUGGUGGAAGCUCGUAGCGGUUCUGACGUGCAAAUCGAUCGUCAAAUUUGGGUAUAGGGGCGAAAGACUAAUCGAACCAUCUAGUAGCUGGUUCCCUCCGAAGUUUCCCUCAGGAUAGCUGGAGCCCGAACUAUGUGUGUAGUUUUAUCAGGUAAAGCGAAUGAUUAGAGGUAUUGGGGUUGAAAUGACCUCAACCUAUUCUCAAACUUUAAAUGGGUAAGAGGUGUAGCUUGCUUCAGUGAAGUUGCACAGAUUUAUUUCUCGUUUUGGAAUACAGGGGCUCUUAGUGGGCCAUUUUUGGUAAGCAGAACUGGCGAUGCGGGAUGAACCGAACGCCGGGUUAAGGUGCCCAAGUCAACGCUCAUGAGAUCCCAGGAAAGGUGUUGGUUGAUACAGACAGCAGGACGGUGGCCAUGGAAGUCGGAAUCCGCUAAGGAGUGUGUAACAACUCACCUGCCGAAUCAACUAGCCCUGAAAAUGGAUGGCGCUCAAGCGUUGCACCUAUCCCCGGCCGCCGUGUGGAGAUAGCCAGUGCUGGUGACACGGCGUGUAGGAGGGCGCAGGGCUGUGUGUUGGUAUGCUGUGCAGGCUGGUGCGUGAGCCCGGCUGAAGCUGGCCCUGGUGCAGAUCUUGGUGGUAGUAGCAAUUAUUCAAAUGAGAACUUUGAAGGCCGAAGUGGAGAAGGGUUCCACGUGAACAGCAUUUGGACGUGGGUGAGUCGGUCCUAAGAGAUGGGCGAAAGCCUGGUUAGUAAGGGUGCAGAUGUGCUGCCUCUUAGGGGGUAGUAUGUCCGGUUGGUUCUUCGGGGCCACGGUGGCACCAGCUCUCGAAAGGGUAUCGGGUUAAUAUUCCCGAACCAGACACCUGGAUGCUGCUCGUUACUUGCCUGUCCUUCACGGGGUGGGCGGUGCGAGUGGAGCACGGCAACGUAUAUGUGUGUGUAUACUCGGCGACGCUUGCGAUAGCCCUGGGAAGAGUUGUCUUUUCUUCUUAACCGUACCAACCGUGUGCACAGCCCUGGAAGCAGUUUACCUUGAGAGAGGGCUGGAGGUCGGGUAAAGCGCUGCACUUAUUGCAGCGUCCAGUGCGCUGUCGAGAGCCCCUGAAAAGCCGAGUCAGGACUGGACCAUGUUAGUCUCGUGUCUGGCCGUACCCAUCACCGCAUCAGGUCUCCAAGGU